UAGGGCCUACGGGAGGCAGCAGUGAGGAAUAUUGGUCAAUGGGAGAGAUCCUGAACCAGCCAAGCCGCGUGAGGGAAGACGGCCCUAUGGGUUGUAAACCUCUUUUGUCGGAGAACAAAACCCGGGACGUGUCCCGGACUGCGUGUAUCCGAAGAAAAAGCAUCGGCUAACUCCGUGCCAGCAGCCGCGGUAAUACGGAGGAUCCGAGCGUUAUCCGGAUUUAUUGGGUUUAAAGGGUGCGUAGGCGGUUUGAUAAGUUAGAGGUGAAAUGUCGGGGCUCAACCCCGAAACUGCCUCUAAUACUG
This 305-nucleotide ribosomal RNA is filed under the name uncultured bacterium. Its description in RNAcentral is "bacterial SSU rRNA". It matches the Rfam family "Bacterial small subunit ribosomal RNA", at positions 333 to 635 of the family's 1533-position model. The record is from RNAcentral.